AUGCAAAAAGCACACGAAAAUUGGCUCUUGAAAGGGGAUAGAUAUACUGACUACUUUCACAGAAUUGUGAAUGGGAGGAGGCGGAGAAAUACUAUUUUUUCUCUUAGUUGUGGAGAUGUGAUUAUUGAAGGGAAUAAUAAUCUCUUGGAACAUGCCACAAAAUUCUAUAAGGACCUUUUUGGGCCAGCAGUUGGAAACUUAUGUAAAAUGAAGGAAGAUAUGUGGGGAUCACAAGAGAAAUUGUCAGACAUUGACAACUUUAUCCUUACUAGACCCUUUUCUGAAACAGAAGUCAAGAAUGCGCUAUUCUCUAUGAAACCAAAUAAAGCUCCUGGUCCAGAUAAUAUUCCUAUUGAGUUUUUCCAACAUUGUUGGGAGAUAGUGAAAAAUGAGGUGAUGAUGCUAUUUGACUGGUUCCAUGAUAACAAACUGGAUGUGCAACGUCUCAAUUAUGGGAUCAUAACUCUACUGCCUAAGGUUGUGGGGGCAAACAAGAUCCAGCAAUUUAGGCCUAUAUGCUUGCUUAGAUGCAUAUACAAGCUGAUCACCAAAGUACUGACUAUUCGGCUGGAACCUUUUGUGGAUAUUCUUUUCAGUAGACAUCAGAAUGCUUUCAUUAAGAAGCGUGACAUCAUGGAUGGGAUCAUGUCCCUGCAUGAAAUCUUGCACCACACUUACAAUAGGAAGAAAACUGGUAUUGUGUUGAAACUUGACUUCGAAAAGGCUUACGAUAAAGUCAACUGGGACUUCCUAUUAGAUUGCCACAGAAUGAGAGAAUUCCACCCGAAAUCGGUCGAGUGGGUCAGUAAAAUUUUAGUGGGGGGUACAGUUAGUGUGAAGUUGAAUGACGAGGUGGGCCCAUACUUUCAAAGCUCGAAAGGGGUGCGCCAAGGGGACCCUUUCUCACCGUUUCUUUUCAAUUUAGCUGCUGAUUGUUUGACAAAGAUGAUUCUUAAAGCCCAACAAAAUGGCUUGUUUAAAAAUUAA
This 987-nucleotide ribosomal RNA is filed under the name Triticum aestivum (bread wheat). RNAcentral describes it as "partial small subunit ribosomal RNA". The record is from RNAcentral. Lineage: Eukaryota; Viridiplantae; Streptophyta; Magnoliopsida; Poales; Poaceae.